UCGCCUAUCACUCUUCUUUGAUUUGUUUUGUAUUUUUUCCAUUUUUUCAUUAUUUGCUCAUGUGUUUUAAUGAAAAUAGCAUCAAACUACCUUUAAGUUACAAAUUUAUAGUAAGAAUAUAUGUUUGGGUUCUUUAAUUCAACUCUCUCUCUCUCUUUGAGGAAUUUCCACAAAUAUUUGGUGGCCAAAUCUAAGAUUUGUAAAAAGACAAAAAUUUGACCAAGACAAUGAUG
Molecule: long non-coding RNA, 233 nt
Organism: Arabidopsis thaliana (thale cress)
Lineage: Eukaryota; Viridiplantae; Streptophyta; Magnoliopsida; Brassicales; Brassicaceae
Product: other RNA
Exons: 1
Source: RefSeq